AAUAGGAUAGCAAGGAUAGCAUAAAGUGACACUUAAAAUCCAAAAAGUCGAGGGCGAAAGCCACUGUGACACCAUUGUUAUGCUCUAUUAGUAAUCUGUAUUAUGUAAAAAUCGUCUGUAAAUACAGCAUGUUUCCUAGCGGAGGUAUACAUAUCAACAUAGUUAUAAAUUACAGUUUGUUAAACCACACACUUAUUUUUUUAAAUAAAAUUAUUCACGACAUAUGAGUGGGCAGACAAUGGAGGUCGACAGACCUGGUGAGAAUUUCUUCUGAGUAGUAUUUUAUUUAGUUGUAAUUCAAUCAAUAAUUUGCUUCUUGAAAUUUAGUAAUGAAUUUCUUGUUUUACUUUAUAAAUUUCAGAUCCUGCCUUUACCUGCCCCCUCCUAUACUGAUGUGGUGUAUGUGGUACUGCUGAGCUUGUAUGUGAUCUGAACCAUUGUAAAGGUUGCAGUUCAAGGGCCUGAGGUGGAAGCAGAAUUUGUGAGGAUUACUACUGCUCCACUUGACCAAUACACUGACCAGCUCAUAAAAGUCUUCAAGAAAAAAGGAGGCGCUGCAGUGAAGAAAAUUAGACAAACUUUGGCCCCAGCCACAAAGAAGCAAACUAUUGAAAAGGGGAGGGAGUGUGUCCUCAGGGCACUCCCUCUUUACCUAAAUGAAGACCCAAGCAUCCUCUUCAAAGAAUAAUUGCUACAGCUACAGCUGUUCAGAGGGAGCUGGAACAAAUUACCCUUGCUAUCUUUACCAUCGAAAGAGCUGAUGCCUCCAGCCGAUGUGGGUAUAACCAUCUAGGGUGUUCUGCAUGACCUGGAAGACAUGGCCUCUGCAUGUGCACUCUUAAUGGGUGGGAUAUAUGAACUGAAUCUCAGUUAACCUCGAGACUUAAAGCUUUCUUUGAAGUACUUCAGAAGCUCUUCCUUCAUCUGGAUGUCAGCAGACUCUUGACCAAGGUAGAGAUGCUCAAGAAUAAAUUGAAUGAAUAAGCCAACCCUUAAUUUGGAUGUUGAAUGUUCUGUCAGAUGGACAGAAGUUUUUCGGAGGCUGAAUGGGAAUAAAAUGGUAAUUUGUUGAAAAUGACAGAUAAAGGGAAAAUUACACUUAAGAGAAAUUUUGAAAAGUUUGUAAACUACUACAAUUUGACAGAUUUUACUCUUGUGUUACAUUUUGUGCAUUGUAAAGGUAAUUGCAAUACAUACUAAGAAUAACGGUAAGU
Oreochromis aureus is the source of this 1214-nucleotide long non-coding RNA. RefSeq lists it as uncharacterized. NCBI's taxonomy places the organism in Eukaryota, Metazoa, Chordata, Actinopteri, Cichliformes, Cichlidae. The transcript is spliced from 5 exons. The record is from RefSeq and is a predicted model, not a curated record.